GGCCAGUUAGCUCAGUCGGUUGAGUGUGGUGCUGAUAACGCCAAUGUCGCGGGUUUGACCCCCGUUCGGUCCC
This 73-nucleotide transfer RNA is filed under the name Apaloderma vittatum (bar-tailed trogon). It matches the Rfam family "tRNA". From Rfam's summary of the family: Transfer RNA (tRNA) molecules are approximately 80 nucleotides in length. Their secondary structure includes four short double-helical elements and three loops (D, anti-codon, and T loops). Further hydrogen bonds mediate the characteristic L-shaped molecular structure. tRNAs have two regions of fundamental functional importance: the anti-codon, which is responsible for specific mRNA codon recognition, and the 3' end, to which the tRNAs corresponding amino acid is attached (by aminoacyl-tRNA synthetases). tRNAs cope with the degeneracy of the genetic code in two manners: having more than one tRNA (with a specific anti-codon) for a particular amino acid; and 'wobble' base-pairing, i.e. permitting non-standard base-pairing at the 3rd anti-codon position. The record is from Rfam by way of RNAcentral. Lineage: Eukaryota; Metazoa; Chordata; Aves; Trogoniformes; Trogonidae.